GGGGACGCGCGGAUUCGACAGUGGAUGUCACCGCGGGAUUGCAGGUCGGGGCGCCUUCCACCUCGUUAACAAGAUGGCAAAAAAGUAACUGGCAACAAAGAGCUAGCACUAGCCGCUUAAGCGGCUACGUCCUUCACGUCCGAUCCCCGAAGGUAGUGAAAGGGCGACAAUAGACGGGGUGCAGUCAGUUAAAUGCCGAUAUAUCUGACUAAAGACUAUCGGCUAGUCUGUUUCAAGCGCUAGCCGGUCGGGGCUUGAGCAGUCGAACUUAAUGAUCGGAUAAGCCUGUAGUAUAUCCCGGUCGGGGUGUCUUCUGGACGGGGAGUUCGACCCUCCCCCGUCUCCACCA
RNAcentral lists this transfer-messenger RNA (349 nucleotides) under Dehalococcoidia. RNAcentral's name for it is "UBA11996 sp002722155 Standard tmRNA". It matches the Rfam family "transfer-messenger RNA". Rfam says of the family: Bacterial tmRNA, also known as 10Sa RNA or SsrA, is named for its dual tRNA and mRNA-like properties. Its role is to liberate the mRNA from a stalled ribosome. RNAcentral also lists the same sequence under 1 other name. Lineage: Bacteria; Bacillati; Chloroflexota. The record is from RNAcentral.